RNAcentral lists this ribosomal RNA (253 nucleotides) under uncultured bacterium. Its description in RNAcentral is "partial 16S ribosomal RNA". It matches the Rfam family "Bacterial small subunit ribosomal RNA", at positions 524 to 776 of the family's 1533-position model. The record is from RNAcentral.
UACGGAGGGGGCAAGCGUUAAUCGGAAUUACUGGGCGUAAAGCGCACGCAGGCGGUUUGCUAAGUUAGACGUGAAAGCCCCGGGCUUAACCGGGGAAGUGCGUCUGAUACUGGCAAGCUUGAGGCGCGGAGAGGGGGGUAGAAUUCCAGGUGUAGUGGUGAAAUGCGUAGAGAUCUGGAGGAAUACCAGUGGCGAAGGCGGCCCCCUGGAUGUAGACUGACGCUCAGGUGCGAAAGCGUGGGGAGCAAACAGG